This 720-nucleotide ribosomal RNA is filed under the name uncultured Gammaproteobacteria bacterium. RNAcentral describes it as "bacterial SSU rRNA". It matches the Rfam family "Bacterial small subunit ribosomal RNA", at positions 62 to 771 of the family's 1533-position model. The record is from RNAcentral. Lineage: Bacteria; Pseudomonadati; Pseudomonadota; Gammaproteobacteria.
UCGAACGGAAACGAUGCUAGCUUGCUAGCAGGCGUCGAGUGGCGGACGGGUGAGUAAUGUAUAGGGAUCUGCCUAGUAGUGGGGGACAACAUGUGGAAACGCAUGCUAAUACCGCAUACGCUCUACGGAGGAAAGUGGGGGACCUUUCGGGGCCUCAUGCUACUAGAUGAACCUAUAUUGGAUUAGCUUGUUGGUAAGGUAAUGGCUUACCAAGGCGACGAUCCAUAGCUGGUUUGAGAGAAUGAUCAGCCACACUGGGACUGAGACACGGCCCAGACUCCUACGGGAGGCAGCAGUGGGGAAUAUUGCACAAUGGACGAAAGUCUGAUGCAGCAAUGCCGCGUGUGUGAAGAAGGCCUUAGGGUUGUAAAGCACUUUCAGACGUGAGGAAAAGUAAUAAUUUAAUAAAUUAUUACCUUGACGUUAACGUCAGAAGAAGGACCGGCUAACUCCGUGCCAGCAGCCGCGGUAAUACGGAGGGUCCAAGCGUUAAUCGGAAUUACUGGGCGUAAAGCGCGCGUAGGCGGAUAUUUAAGUCAGAUGUGAAAUCCCUGGGCUCAACCUAGGAACUGCAUUUGAUACUGGAUAUCUAGAGUAUGGUAGAGGUGAGUGGAAUUUCAGGUGUAGCGGUGAAAUGCGUAGAGAUCUGAAGGAACAUCAGUGGCGAAGGCGACUCACUGGGCCAUUACUGACGCUGAGGUGCGAAAGCGUGGGUAGCAA